RNAcentral lists this ribosomal RNA (253 nucleotides) under uncultured bacterium. RNAcentral's name for it is "partial 16S ribosomal RNA". It matches the Rfam family "Bacterial small subunit ribosomal RNA", at positions 524 to 776 of the family's 1533-position model. The record is from RNAcentral.
GACGAACCGUGCAAACGUUGUUCGGAAUCACUGGGCUUAAAGGGCGCGUAGGCGGGCGGCCAAGUCCGGGGUGAAAUCUUUCGGCUCAACCGGAAAAUUGCCUUGGAUACUGGCUGUCUCGAGGGAGGUAGGGGCAUGUGGAACUUCCGGUGGAGCGGUGAAAUGCGUUGAUAUCGGAAGGAACGCCGGUGGCGAAAGCGACGUGCUGGACCUUCUCUGACGCUGAGGCGCGAAAGCUAGGGGAGCGAACGGG